This is a long non-coding RNA of Conger conger (European conger), 2068 nucleotides long. RefSeq lists it as uncharacterized. The record is from RefSeq and is a predicted model, not a curated record. The transcript has 2 exons. Lineage: Eukaryota; Metazoa; Chordata; Actinopteri; Anguilliformes; Congridae.
CUCUCCGCGGCACGGCCCAGAUGGUGCCCGCUGAUUAGUCGACGUGGAGGACCGUGUCUCUCGAACUGCAUCUGGGCCAAUCGCACAUUAUCACGGUCUGCAGGAGCGCUGCCUGUGAACUGAUCUGGUGAACGCGUAGGCGACAGUUAAUAGUGCCGUUUGCACUGGCUGUAUGGCGGACAAACUCGAAAGUGUGUGAACGAUGUGGUUAAGGAACCAGGCUUGUAACUCGGAGAUGGCAGGCUGAAAAUACAAGGUACAUUACCGUUGGAAUCAGGAUAGUCCUUCGUAACUUGAACUUCUUAAUUUAUAACCCACAGUCCAUUUUCUGGGAUUUUGUUAUGACUUAAGUUUACUUUUACCACUUGUACGACUACCACUACUACUACUACUCAUCAUCAUCAGCAUUACGUCAGCACAUCAAGGAGCGUCUUUCCAUUCAGUCAGUCAUACAUCGGACGUUUUCAGUCCGGAGACCCUGGCUCUAUUUCAGACACGUUCACAAGCACGGGCACCAUUGAGCUAAUGUAGUGAACCCAAUCUAACUAUUGGACAGCCUAAGCACCAAACAAACUUUCCAAUUGAAGAGUGUCGUCCGAGACUGACACCUAUUAGCUGAGCAGCGAAAGAGGUUACAUUUCCCACAGGCUCUGCGCGGAAGAAAACACGGCGCAAAAGCCCCUCGGACAAAGCCAGAGUGUUCCGGGCAGACACGGCCGCUGAAUUGCUUUUCAGCGCUCUGAACAAGCCUGCACUGAGGACGGGGGGAGCGACACAAACGAACGUGUCAGAGCCGGUUCGGCGGGGGACGAGCUCGCGGUGAGGAGUCGGAUCCCGGCAGUGCCAGCUCCGUGUAUAAUCGGCUGUGAAAGCUCGCCAGGUUCAUCAGACCAGAGCGGCCCUGAUUGGCCCGGCGCCCGCGGCCUGCCCGUGGCGACAGGGAGAUGGCUGUCCAUGCCCAUUUCCAUCGAGGGAUCCACUCGCCGCUGGUCUGCGCUCCGCGGGAAUAAUGGAGGCGUUUCAGCAACCAGGCAGGCAUGCAAAUAUGACUGUGUGUUCCAAAUGUGGAGGAAAAAAGUCACUUUCUUUCAUAUGGGUGCUGCUUUAAAAAAAUUAUUUAAUCAAGCUGAAAGUCAAAGUUAAAAUCUUAUAAUAAUAAUAUUCUUUAAUGAUUGUAAGGUUUGUGUAUGUCAUACUGUAAGUCUAUGCUUAUUCAUGUUUGUAUUUCAAUGACAACUGCUGAUAUACAACAGUACUGUAUGUAUAUCAGGACAUAAAUCUAUAGUAGUUACCCAGAACUGUUUUCAUUCAAUUUAGGGAAUGAAAGGAAAAUAUCUUUCAUAAAUCAGUUGAAAACAUUUCAUUGAUGUCAGGAUCUGAUUGGAUCUCUUGCCAGAAAUGAAAGUUGGCAAAUUCAGUGAACUGCUAUGAUAUCUCCUUAGCUUUAUGCAAAUGCUUUCAUUAUUGUGUUUCUGUACUGUCUCGGCAUCAAACGUUACUGAAACAGUUAGCAGUUACUGAUAUUAAUGGGGAAAAUGUGUUGAUGGAAAAAGACAGGUUCAUUUGUCCUCAAAGUUAAAGAAAAAUAACAGUAACAAUUAUGCUGAUUGUAAAGUAAAGCUCUGUGAAUGGUGAUGAUGUUGGGGAUGAUGACUAGCAUUAUUGCUAUUGUGAUAUAUACAUUUUCCUGUCCAUUUGUAGUUAAAUGUGAAAUACUGAUUUCAUUUCAACCCCAAUUAUGCACACCUGACUGCAAUUAUGCAUACCAACUGGCAGCUCAAUGAGAUCUCCAGCUGUUGGAUGAGGUGUGCUUUGUAAGGGUUUGAGUGAAAACCUACAGGAACAGGGCUGGGUGGCCCUGUCUUAGACCAAUAGCAAGUAGCCUAAUGCUCAAGACAACAGCAGCUCACUCGUUUUAGUGAAGGGGUUUCCUUCUGACACGUUUUGAGUUUGUUGGAUACCAAUGUCAUGGUUGUGUAGCUUAUUUGCUUGUGACCGAUCAAGAACCACACUCACAUUUCUGUUUGAUGGACUGCAAAGUAAAUGCACAAUAAACUAAUGUUUAUUA